This 497-nucleotide ribosomal RNA is filed under the name uncultured bacterium. Its description in RNAcentral is "partial 16S ribosomal RNA". It matches the Rfam family "Bacterial small subunit ribosomal RNA", at positions 28 to 507 of the family's 1533-position model. The record is from RNAcentral.
GACGAACGCUGGCGGCGUGCCUAAUACAUGCAAGUUGAGCGCUGAAGGUUGGUACUUGUACCAACUGGAUGAGCAGCGCACGGGUGAGUAACGCGUGGGGAAUCUGCCUUUGAGCGGGGGACAACAUUUGGAAACGAAUGCUAAUACCGCAUAAAAACUUUAAACACAAGUUUUAAGUUUGAAAGAUGCAAUUGCAUCACUCAAAGAUGAUCCCGCGUUGUAUUAGCUAGUUGGUGAGGUAAAGGCUCACCAAGGCGAUGAUACAUAGCCGACCUGAGAGGGUGAUCGGCCACAUUGGGACUGAGACACGGCCCAAACGCCUACGGGAGGCAGCAGUAGGGAAUCUUCGGCAAUGGACGAAAGUCUGACCGAGAAACGCCGAGUGAGUGAAGAAGGUUUUCGGAUCGUAAAACUCGGUUGGUAGAGAAGAACGUUGGUGAGAGUGGAAAGCUCAUCAAGUGACGGUAACUACCCAGAAAGGGACGGCUAACUACGUG